Molecule: ribosomal RNA, 253 nt
Filed under: uncultured bacterium
Lineage: Bacteria
Description: partial 16S ribosomal RNA
Rfam family: Bacterial small subunit ribosomal RNA
Source: RNAcentral
UACGUAGGGGGCAAGCGUUAUCCGGAUUUACUGGGUGUAAAGGGAGCGUAGACGGCCAGACAAGUCUGAAGUGAAAAUCCAGCGCUUAACGUUGGAAGUGCUUUGGAAACUGCCGGGCUAGAGUGCAGGAGGGGCAGGCGGAAUUCCUAGUGUAGCGGUGAAAUGCGUAGAUAUUAGGAGGAACACCAGUGGCGAAGGCGGCCUGCUGGACUGCAACUGACGUUGAGGCUCGAAGGCGUGGGGAGCAGACAGG